UUUCCUUCGGGACUGAUUAUUUUGUGACUGAGUGGCGGACGGGUGAGUAACGCGUGGGUAACCUGCCUUGUACAGGGGGAUAACAGUUGGAAACGGCUGCUAAUACCGCAUAAGACCACAGCACCGCAUGGUCGAUACGCCAAAGAUUUAUCGCUGAAAGAUGGCCUCGCGUCUGAUUAGCUAGUUGGUGAGGUAACGGCCCACCAAGGCGACGAUCAGUAGCCGGACUGAGAGGUUGAACGGCCACAUUGGGACUGAGAUACGGCCCAGACUCC
RNAcentral lists this ribosomal RNA (275 nucleotides) under uncultured Eubacteriales bacterium. Its description in RNAcentral is "uncultured Clostridiales bacterium partial 16S ribosomal RNA". It matches the Rfam family "Bacterial small subunit ribosomal RNA", at positions 74 to 339 of the family's 1533-position model. Lineage: Bacteria; Bacillati; Bacillota; Clostridia; Eubacteriales. The record is from RNAcentral.